RNAcentral lists this ribosomal RNA (449 nucleotides) under uncultured bacterium. RNAcentral's name for it is "partial 16S ribosomal RNA". It matches the Rfam family "Bacterial small subunit ribosomal RNA", at positions 29 to 523 of the family's 1533-position model. The record is from RNAcentral.
AACGAACGCUGGCGGCAUGCCUAACACAUGCAAGUCGAACGAGAUCUUCGGGUCUAGUGGCGCACGGGUGCGUAACGCGUGGGAAUCUGCCCUUUGGUUCGGAAUAACAGUUGGAAACGACUGCUAAUACCGGAUGAUGACGAAAGUCCAAAGAUUUAUCGCCAGAGGAUGAGCCCGCGUAGGAUUAGCUAGUUGGUGUGGUAAGGGCGCACCAAGGCGACGAUCCUUAGCUGGUCUGAGAGGAUGAUCAGCCACACUGGGACUGGGACACGGCCCAGACUCCUACGGGAGGCAGCAGUGGGGAAUAUUGGACAAUGGGCGAAAGCCUGAUCCAGCAAUGCCGCGUGAGUGAUGAAGGCCUUAGGGUUGUAAAGCUCUUUUACCCGGGAUGAUAAUGACAGUACCGGGAGAAUAAGCUCCGGCUAACUCCGUGCCAGCAGCCGCCGUAA